GACGAACGCUGGCGGCGUGCUUAACACAUGCAAGUCGAACGAUAACGCCCAGCUUGCUGGGUGGCUUAGUGGCGAACGGGGGAGUAACACGUGUGUAUACUGCCCUUGACCCUGGGAUAAGCGUUGGAAACGGUGGCUAAUAUAGGGUACAAGAUUUCACGGCACAGGGUGUUGCUGGGAAGAAUUUCGGUGAUGGUUGGGCUCGCGGCCUCUAAGGUAGUGUGUGAGGGAUCGGCUCACCAAGCCGACGGCGGGUAGCCGGCCUGGGCGGGGGACCGGCCACACUGGGACUGAGAUGCGGCCCAGACUCCUACGGGAGGCAGCAGUGGGGAAUAUUGCACAAUGGGCGGAAGCCUGAUGCAGCAACGCCGCGUGGGGGACGACGGCCUUCGGGUUGUAAACCACUUUUCGCUGAGAAGAAGCGAGAGUGACGGUACCAGCAGAAGAAGCACCGGCUAACUACGUG
Molecule: ribosomal RNA, 466 nt
Filed under: uncultured bacterium
Lineage: Bacteria
Description: partial 16S ribosomal RNA
Rfam family: Bacterial small subunit ribosomal RNA
Source: RNAcentral